UUAUAUGUUUCCCUACCCUGCCGCCAACCCCAUCCCCCCUUUUCCAUUUCCUUCUUCAACAGUGACUCUCUUCACAUGAAGAGAGCAAACCAGCGGAAUCACUGGCUAAAUAGCCCGAUGGCUUCUCUUUUUUCAGGUAUUGAGUGGUACUUUGAAGAUUAAAAUGUAAUAUUGGGAGGAGCCGCAGUUCGUCGAAAAGACAUUACAAAAAUGAGAUGAGAAUUCUUUCAAAAGUUUUUUAAAAAGUAUACAGGGUGCAUUUCAAUCUAUUCAAUGCAAGAAGAUUAAGUAUUCAACCUUGAUGCAAAGAGUGAAAGUACUUCAUCCUUGACUGCAGAAGAUCAUCUGGUGACGACAUCUGAAAUUCUCGGAGCAAAUACUUAGAACAUAGUUUUCUUUUGAUGUGGAACCCUUUAGAAUUUUAUAGAUUAUAGAUAAUGGUGCAUAAUUUGUAUUAUACUCCUAUUAGUUUGACAAGAAUGUGAGUUUAACACUGUGUUUGGAUGGUUGU
Nicotiana tabacum (common tobacco) is the source of this 511-nucleotide long non-coding RNA. RefSeq lists it as uncharacterized. NCBI's taxonomy places the organism in Eukaryota, Viridiplantae, Streptophyta, Magnoliopsida, Solanales, Solanaceae. The record is from RefSeq and is a predicted model, not a curated record.